This 460-nucleotide ribosomal RNA is filed under the name uncultured bacterium. RNAcentral describes it as "partial 16S ribosomal RNA". It matches the Rfam family "Bacterial small subunit ribosomal RNA", at positions 338 to 795 of the family's 1533-position model. The record is from RNAcentral.
CCUACGGGCGGCUGCAGUGAGGAAUAUUGGUCAAUGGACGAGAGUCUGAACCAGCCAAGUAGCGUGAAGGAUGACUGCCCUAUGGGUUGUAAACUUCUUUUUUAAAGGAAUAAAACGAGGCACGUGUGCCUUUUUGCAUGUACUUUAUGAAUAAGGAUCGGCUAACUCCGUGCCAGCAGCCGCGGUAAUACGGAGGAUCCGAGCGUUAUCCGGAUUUAUUGGGUGUAAAGGGAGCGUAGAUGGGUUGUUAAGUCAGUUGGGAAAGUGUGCGGCUCAACCGUAAAAUUGCAAUUGAUACUGGCAGUCUUGAGUACAGUUGAGGUAGGCGGAAUUCGUGGUGUAGCGGUGAAAUGCUUAGAUAUCACGAAGAACCCCGAUUGCGAAGGCAGCUUACUAAACUGUGACUGACAUUGAUGCUCGAAAGUGUGGGUAUCAAACAGGAUUAGAUACCCUUGUAGUC